RNAcentral lists this ribosomal RNA (207 nucleotides) under uncultured bacterium. RNAcentral's name for it is "partial 16S ribosomal RNA". It matches the Rfam family "Bacterial small subunit ribosomal RNA", at positions 568 to 774 of the family's 1533-position model. The record is from RNAcentral.
UUCGUAGGCGGUGUGGCAAGUCGGGAGUGAAAUCUCUGGGCUUAACUCAGAGGCUGCUUCCGAAACUGCCGUGCUAGAGUGCGGGAGAGGCGAGUGGAAUUGCAGGUGUAGCGGUGAAAUGCGUAGAUAUCUGCAGGAACACCCGUGGCGAAGGCGGCUCGCUGGACCGCAACUGACGCUGAGGAACGAAAGCUAGGGGAGCAAACA